Molecule: ribosomal RNA, 1352 nt
Filed under: uncultured bacterium
Lineage: Bacteria
Description: bacterial SSU rRNA
Rfam family: Bacterial small subunit ribosomal RNA
Source: RNAcentral
AUUGAACGCUGGCGGCAUGCCUUACACAUGCAAGUCGAACGGCAGCACGGAGCUUGCUCUGGUGGCGAGUGGCGAACGGGUGAGUAAUAUAUCGGAACGUACCCUAGAGUGGGGGAUAACGUAGCGAAAGUUACGCUAAUACCGCAUACGAUCUAAGGAUGAAAGUGGGGGAUCGCAAGACCUCAUGCUCGUGGAGCGGCCGAUAUCUGAUUAGCUAGUUGGUAGGGUAAAAGCCUACCAAGGCAUCGAUCAGUAGCUGGUCUGAGAGGACGACCAGCCACACUGGAACUGAGACACGGUCCAGACUCCUACGGGAGGCAGCAGUGGGGAAUUUUGGACAAUGGGCGAAAGCCUGAUCCAGCAAUGCCGCGUGAGUGAAGAAGGCCUUCGGGUUGUAAAGCUCUUUUGUCAGGGAAGAAACGGUGAAAGCUAAUAUCUUUUGCUAAUGACGGUACCUGAAGAAUAAGCACCGGCUAACUACGUGCCAGCAGCCGCGGUAAUACGUAGGGUGCAAGCGUUAAUCGGAAUUACUGGGCGUAAAGCGUGCGCAGGCGGUUUUGUAAGUCUGAUGUGAAAUCCCCGGGCUCAACCUGGGAAUUGCAUUGGAGACUGCAAGGCUAGAAUCUGGCAGAGGGAGGUAGAAUUCCACGUGUAGCAGUGAAAUGCGUAGAUAUGUGGAGGAACACCGAUGGCGAAGGCAGCCCCCUGGGUCAAGAUUGACGCUCAUGCACGAAAGCGUGGGGAGCAAACAGGAUUAGAUACCCUGGUAGUCCACGCCCUAAACGAUGUCUACUAGUUGUCGGGUCUUAAUUGACUUGGUAACGCAGCUAACGCGUGAAGUAGACCGCCUGGGGAGUACGGUCGCAAGAUUAAAACUCAAAGGAAUUGACGGGGACCCGCACAAGCGGUGGAUGAUGUGGAUUAAUUCGAUGCAACGCGAAAAACCUUACCUACCCUUGACAUGGCUGGAAUCCUUGAGAGAUCAGGGAGUGCUCGAAAGAGAACCAGUACACAGGUGCUGCAUGGCUGUCGUCAGCUCGUGUCGUGAGAUGUCGGGUUAAGUCCCGCAACGAGCGCAACCCUUGUCAUUAGUUGCUACGAAAGGGCACUCUAAUGAGACUGCCGGUGACAAACCGGAGGAAGGUGGGGAUGACGUCAAGUCCUCAUGGCCCUUAUGGGUAGGGCUUCACACGUCAUACAAUGGUACAUACAGAGCGCCGCCAACCCGCGAGGGGGAGCUAAUCGCAGAAAGUGUAUCGUAGUCCGGAUUGUAGCCUGCAACUCGACUGCAUGAAGUUGGAAUCGCUAGUAAUCGCGGAUCAGCAUGUCGCGGUGAAUACGUUCCCGGGUCU